CCCUCCUUGUGCAAGGUGUCAAUGGUCGUCUUUUGGACAACUGUCAAGUCAGCAGUCUUCCCCAUGAUUGUGCAGCCUACAGAACUAGACUGAGAGACCAUUUAAAGGCUUUUCAGGUGUUUUGAGUUAAUUAGCUGAUUAGAGUGUGGCACCAGGUGUCUUCAAUAUUGAACCUUUUCAUAAUAUUCUAAUUUUCUGAGAUACUGAAUUUGGGAUUUUCCUUAGUUGUCAGUUAUAAACAUCAAAAUUAAAAGAAAUAAACAUUUGAAAUAUAUCAGUCUGUAUGUAAUGAAUGAAUAUAAUAUACAAGUUUCACUUUUUGAAUGGAAUUAGUGAAAUAAAUCAACUUUUUGAUGAUAUUCUAAUUAUAUGACCAGCACCUGUAUACCGGUACUAGCAAUAACCACAAUAUUUAAAAUUAACAUUUCUCUUAUGAUAACACCACAUGUAAAUACUCCAUCGAGAUUACCUGGUUGAGCUCCCAGGUGGCAGUAUUGUGCCUUAACUUUGACACCUGUCACACAAGAAGAAGACGCAGCGCUCGCAGCUACUCCGAGGAGAGCCAUGUGGCAGACAAGAGCUGAAUGGGUCGGGAAACUCACCUCCAUUCCCUGCCAGAGAUGAGUUCUUCUAACCACUCUACAUGCUCUAGUUUCCAGCCCCCAUCAAUUCCUUGGUCUUACAGAGAGGGAGAAAGAAACAGAUUGAAAGCGUCAGAGAAAGAAAGACCAUUCAAUAUGGCUCUAUAGGUAUAUUUCCUCUGUUUUCCUGGCUCAGUCUUCCAUGGAGCCUUUCUCCCUGAUGGAUCACUGCUGAAAAAGGAUGGAUGGCAGCUUAUCCCUUGCCUGGUGCCUGGCAUUUUACCCUUUCUUUUCCAUUCAUCCAUCUUCCACACUGGCAAUAUGUUAUGGUGCAGUAGCCACUGUGUACUCUACAAAUACAUGUAUGUGGAAACAGAAAAAGCCAAAAGUAUAAUUCAUUUGUAUGUUUUCCGGUAGCCCUUGCUCGCAUUAUGUAAAUUUUGUCAUCAUCACAAUCUAUGGAAAAUUAUAUGUUUAGCACAAAUUUUUAAGCCUUGUUCACAUUUGCAAAAGGUAAAAAGAUGUUUGGUCGAACUAAAGACGACAGACAAACUGAACAAUCCUGUCCAAACAGGCAGUACAUCUAUAGCGAUAUGGGCAAAGAAGCUCAUUUAUUCAGAUGACAUAAUUUCUUGGUAAAAAUGUAUCUUGACACAGCACUUCUGUUGAUUAUUCAAAUAUUUUUGCCCAUUUACAUGCACUCAUAAUUUAAAACAUGUCUAUAUAUCUCCUGUAGUAAAAGGUGUGCUCCAUUUGAAAGUAAUUGCCCUGCAAAGUGCAUAUUCUGCUAUCUUAAGUGUGAUUCCAAUCUGAAGGGAGCAUACAGUUCGAAGGGCACUGUAAAUGGCAUAGGGAAUAAGGGAAUAUUGAUGCAUCACUUGACAGGAAGUGGAGAGGGCAAUUUACUUUUAUGCAUUUUACCCACUGUACACCACUCCGGUACUUGAAGAAGUUUGAAUAAAAUAAAUGCAGCCAAGGUUACUGCAUUUUAAUUGAGUUUAUUGAGUUUAUUGAUUUUAUCGACACAUUCCUAGUUGCUUGGCUGUUUGUGGGUAUUAAGUGUGAGAGACACAUCAGUUACAAUGCAACUAUUGCGAUUAUGGUUAAAUAAAUUAAAAUCUAUUAUAAUCUAAUCAUGAUUAUUUAUAUAUUAAACAAAAUUUAUCAGCAAUUUAACCUUAAAGUUAUUAUUAACCUUAAACAUAUCAUUAACUCUCAUUAUAG
Long non-coding RNA from Cyprinus carpio carpio, 1805 nucleotides. The record is from Ensembl. NCBI's taxonomy places the organism in Eukaryota, Metazoa, Chordata, Actinopteri, Cypriniformes, Cyprinidae.